RNAcentral lists this ribosomal RNA (253 nucleotides) under uncultured bacterium. RNAcentral's name for it is "partial 16S ribosomal RNA". It matches the Rfam family "Bacterial small subunit ribosomal RNA", at positions 524 to 776 of the family's 1533-position model. The record is from RNAcentral.
UACGUAGGGUGCGAGCGUUAAUCGGAAUUACUGGGUUUAAAGGGUGCGUAGGCGGCCAUGUAAGUCAGGAGUGAAAGUUUGCGGCUCAACCGUAAAAUUGCUUUUGAUACUGCAUGGCUGGAAUCAGGAUGAGGUCAGCGGAAUGUGGCAUGUAGCGGUGAAAUGCAUAGAUAUGCCAUAGAACACCAAUUGCGAAGGCAGCUGGCUAGACCUGUAUUGACGCUGAGGCACGAAAGCGUGGGGAGCGAACAGG